GGCUUUCUGCUCUUGAGGACAAAGUGAGGAUUUGCCUCAAGUUCCCACUUGGGAGCCACAGGACCAACCCCUACCCUCCCAGAAACAGGAAAGGUAUCCAACUGGAAUAUGGCUAGGAAGAAAUCCAAAUCAGCAGCACUACAGUGGAUUAACUUGUCAGAGAGGAGGGGAAAACACCAUCACUUACGCAGAUCAGAAAUUGCAACCACUGCCCAAAGUUGUCUGUGUACAGUGCCUGGCAAUACACAGGUUUUGCUACUUCUGUUCCUACAAAAACUAACAACAGCUGGAAAGCAAGAGAUUCUGCUGACUAUGAGUAAAGCCCAUCCAAAAUAAAAAACACAUGAAUCUCUGAAGAAAUAAACUGCUUUCUUCUGAAAGACAGUAUUAUUGAUGCUACAUUGCUCUGCACAAUGCAGCAUGAACCCCACAACACCUGACUGGUAUCAGAAAUCAUUAUUCUUUAUCUGCUGCCUGUCAGUACCACCUUUUGGGUCUUUGUCCAGUAUUCUCCCUCUCACACACAACUGAAGGAGGAAAAUCUUCCUGAUUUUUAAGGGAAAGGUUCAGUUUUUUAAAAAUGUUAGGUCUAUGAGGAGUCAGUCCUUUAUUCCACUUCUUGCCCUCUUUCAAGGGCUCUAUUUUCAUACAGCCUUUCACUGCCAUCAUACUAUAGUUACCACUCUUCUUUUGGCUGUUGUUAUCAUCCCAUAGCAGAGAAAGAAUAAAAUUUUAAUAAACGAGAGCUCUGAUACUGAAAACACACAAGAAAACUGCCACCUCUGAGAAAAACAAGGACUGUGCUAAGUGAAGCAAAAGCAGUGAUUAAAGACAAUGCACAUGAAACAGGCUAGACCAAAGAGAAGAAACACAAAAACAUGGAAAAUGUUCUUUUAUACCAGCCUCUAAAACACAUGAGACCCUGGAGUGAUUUCACAGGCACAAGGAGUACAGUAACUCCCCAUUUCCACUAGUUUAUACCUUGGGUCUUCUGGAGAAUUUUGCUGAUCCAUGGGAAUGUGUAUGGGAGCCUGACCCAGGACUAACAAGAUGAACUCCCAAGCUUUUAGGGUUCACUGGGAAUUAAUUACCAGCUGCUGCCCCUUGUGGCAGGCAGUUCAUGGAAGCGCCAACCUGCUCUCCCCAUUCACAUGCAACACACAGCAAUGCUCUAAGAAAGGGACUCAAAUGAAAGAGAAAAUGUCCACCCUCCCUCAUCAAUUUACACCCUGCAAUAGUUGCACACAGGAAAUCAGUGAUAAGCUCUAUGAAUCAUCUGAGAGCAGUGUGGACCCCAUGGGUAAUAUUAGCCUGUAAUUAUUAAAUCAAAGACCUUGGAAUUUGCUUAUCUAAACUCUACCUACGAGCUUCUAUGGCAUGAUCUAAAUUGCUGCCUUUCAUGGCAUCUUAGCUUCUAUGCAGCAUUCAUCAGGUG
Poecile atricapillus (Black-capped chickadee) is the source of this 1435-nucleotide long non-coding RNA. RefSeq lists it as uncharacterized. The transcript is spliced from 3 exons. The record is from RefSeq and is a predicted model, not a curated record. NCBI's taxonomy places the organism in Eukaryota, Metazoa, Chordata, Aves, Passeriformes, Paridae.